Molecule: ribosomal RNA, 253 nt
Filed under: uncultured bacterium
Lineage: Bacteria
Description: partial 16S ribosomal RNA
Rfam family: Bacterial small subunit ribosomal RNA
Source: RNAcentral
UACGUAGGAUGCAAGCGUUGUCCGGAUUUAUUGGGCUUAAAGGGUGCGUAGGCGGCCCUGUAAGUCAGUGCUGAAAUAUCCCGGCUUAACCGGGAGGGUGGCAUUGAUACUGCGGGGCUAGAGUACAGAUGAGGUAGGCGGAAUUGACGGUGUAGCGGUGAAAUGCUUAGAUAUCGUCAAGAACACCUAUAGCGAAGGCAGCUUACUAGGCUGUAACUGACGCUGAGGCACGAAAGUGUGGGGAUCAAACAGG